CCGAAUUUUAAAUCUACAACAGUGGUCCACCCAUUGUACGAAGUAUUUCCGUAUUUUUUUCUUAUCAAUCAUUAAUAUUAAAUGUAAUUAUUUCGCCCCCACCUUUUCCAUAGUCAAGGUCUGGAGUCGCCCCUGAUCUAUAGGUCGGUAUAAAAUUGGAUUGGUCUAUUGAAUUAAUUUUUAAUCAUUAUAUAUUUAUAUACUACACUAAUAUUAGAUUUCCCAAAAAUUCAACUACCAUAAAAUAUCACUUACAGAUUCGUUAUUAUUUUUUUAAUAAGUAUUGAUUUAAGUAUUACGAGGCUUUAUUUUCCUAAUACCUAUACAGUAUAUGAAUUAAAUUACUUUAGAUUUAUAUCAUUCCUUACCAGAUUUCCAGUGGAAAAGAUGUUUGUUUGACAAAUGGAAGAACCACUCGGCUCAUAUUAUAUACCUAGGUAGGUAGGUAUAUAAUAUGUAUCGGCGAAAAUGCUGCAAACGACGGAAUCAGUUCAUUAGCGAAAUAGGUGGUUUCAAAAAUAUUCUACCUACCUAUUUAAUAUGUAUGUUUUCAUGUAAACGUUUUAUAAAUGAAACAUAUACUUAGGUAGGUACGUCAUAAAACAUAAUAUUAUAGUUUUGUAGCCUAUUGUUUUUUCGUACCUAGUAAUAACACAAAUAUUGAUGUUAUAAAUGCUCCUAUUAUAAUUUGAGUGUUGUGAAUAAUAAAUAAAUAAAAUAUAUUUUCAAAACUAUUUUUAAAUAUCUAUCCGUUAUUAAAAUUUGUAUUUUAUUUACAUUUUGUAUUAUCUAUGAUACAGUCAAGACUACGGGUCAUAUAGAUCUAUAUGGCCGUGGUCAAGACCGUGUCUAUGAUUUUAAAAUCUAUUGAUACUAGACAGUAUCAUAGAGCAAUACUUAUGCUGAUAAGAUAUUAUUAUCGC
Cinara cedri is the source of this 923-nucleotide non-coding RNA. The record is from the annotation of a GenBank genome assembly. NCBI's taxonomy places the organism in Eukaryota, Metazoa, Arthropoda, Insecta, Hemiptera, Aphididae.